UGGGGAAUAUUGGACAAUGGGCGAAAGCCUGAUCCAGCCAUGCCGCGUGUGUGAAGAAGGUCUUCGGAUUGUAAAGCACUUUAAGUUGGGAGGAAGGGCAGUAAGCGAAUACCUUGCUGUUUUGACGUUACCGACAGAAUAAGCACCGGCUAACUCUGUGCCAGCAGCCGCGGUAAUACAGAGGGUGCAAGCGUUAAUCGGAAUUACUGGGCGUAAAGCGCGCGUAGGUGGUUCGUUAAGUUGAAUGUGAAAGCCCCGGGCUCAACCUGGGAACUGCAUCCAAAACUGGCGAGCUAGAGUAGGGCAGAGGGUGGUGGAAUUUCCUGUGUAGCGGUGAAAUGCGUAGAUAAAGGAAGGAACACCAGUGGCGAAGGCGACCACCUGGGCUCAUACUGACACUGAGGUGCGAAAGCGUGGGGAGCAAACAGG
This 429-nucleotide ribosomal RNA is filed under the name Pseudomonadota bacterium. RNAcentral's name for it is "Proteobacteria bacterium partial 16S ribosomal RNA". It matches the Rfam family "Bacterial small subunit ribosomal RNA", at positions 355 to 776 of the family's 1533-position model. The record is from RNAcentral. Lineage: Bacteria; Pseudomonadati; Pseudomonadota.